Molecule: long non-coding RNA, 1610 nt
Organism: Schistocerca nitens (vagrant locust)
Lineage: Eukaryota; Metazoa; Arthropoda; Insecta; Orthoptera; Acrididae
Exons: 3
Source: RefSeq, a predicted model, not a curated record
GGGAGAGCGGCAGCCCACGGUUCCCGGGCAGCGUGGCGGGCAGUGCAGCGCCGGCCGGCAGGGAAACAGGUACGAGCUACUCACCUAGCUGCUGACUUCAGGAAGACUAAGCACGGUGACCAACCAUGGAGAUGAGGCCAUCACAGAUGAAAACCCUCAGUGGCAACAGUUAGAGGAUGUCAGGAAAUCUUAUCAAGAACCAUCCUCUCCAGGCUGAAGGUUUCACCAAGAAGGAUCAAGAAAGUUUGAUCUGGAAGUUAAAUAAGUUAAUAUAUGGAGUGAAAAAAAGUGGAAAAUGCUGGAAAUGAUCAUUUAAAUAACUCACUAGAAAAACUGGGAUUUAUUCAAAAUGAUAUAGAUCUAUGUACAUACAAAUUAAGUGCAAAGGAAGGGAAAACUAGUCUUUCAAUAUAUGUGGAUGAAAUGCUUACAUUUGCUCAGAAUGAAGAGCUGAGGCAGAGGGUGAAAACUUUUCUAGAAAGUUGCUUUGAAAUCAAGAACAUGGGCAUGGUGUCCCACAUGUUAGGAGUGAAAUUUGAAAACAGUGAAGAUAGAAUGGUUAAUCUUUCUCAGAGGAAGUAUAUUUAUUAAUUAUUUGAAAUAUUUAGACUUAAAAACGCCAAGGGAGCCAAGACGCUGAUGGAAAUGAAAACAAAUUUCCUUGAUGAAAAGUGUGAUGAUGAAGUUAAAAGUCUUACGUAUCGUAAGCUUAUUGCUGGACUCCUUUACUUUUUACAGAGUACUUGAUCAGACAUAGCUUUCUCAGUAGUAAAGUUGCCACAAUGUCAUUCAAAAUUUAACGAGACCCAUUUGAAAGCAGCAUACUGUCAUAAAAUGACAUUGCAUCAGGGAGGUAGUAAUGGAGGGAAUGAUUGAGAUUCAAUGGAUAAAAUUCAAGCAGACUUGUUAACAAAAUCACUGAGCAUAAUAUGCACAAGUAUCAUUGUAAGUAAACAGAUAUCACUUUGAGGGGGCCAAAGGAGGUGAGGGGAGGGGCGACGGAGUGUUAAGUAUUAAACAAGUGGACAAGAGCACUUUUAUUUAUUCCUUUUUUGUGACAUGACUGGAUUAUCUUUGAUCUUGUUUGAAAAGAUAAUGAAGAGGUAAGAAGCCUUUGUUCUUUUAAAAAGAUGUUUAGUUUCCUCUGUUUUAAAGAGUUCACAGAUUUUUCUUUCAUAUUAAUGUUUGUGAUAUGGCCAUUUCCUUCUACUCCAACAGAGGCUUAUGAAGUCAACCAAAAUUGGGAAAGGCACUGAGAAAUGUUAGUGUUUCAACAAUGAUUAAGGCUAUUUAUUUACGAAUAUCUCAGAAUAAAUGUUGGAAAAAAAUUCCUUCUCAAUGUAAUACACGAGACAUUCAUUAAAAUUAUCAAGAGCUGCAUUGAAAGAGAAUUGGAAUGUAAUCGAAGGAACAAGCUGGUCUAGGAAAUGGACAUGGCAAAGUAGACAAUUCAUGAGAAGUGAAUAAAUUUAUAUAAUGAAGUAAAUAUUAUCACUAUGCCACCUGGGAUUUACAGAUUAUGAGAAAUUUGUUUAAUAAAUUUAAACAAAAUUUGUACAAAUAGCCUUUGAAAUGCAAGACAUCUAUUCUAUGUAUACUAGUUUAUUAAG